RNAcentral lists this unclassified non-coding RNA (3166 nucleotides) under Polistes canadensis. Its description in RNAcentral is "aP-1 complex subunit beta-1, transcript variant X3". Lineage: Eukaryota; Metazoa; Arthropoda; Insecta; Hymenoptera; Vespidae. The record is from RNAcentral.
UAAAUAACUAAACGUCAGUCUUUGUGGAAGUAGGGUAAGGAGGCGUUUCGCCUUCGAUUGACAAUUAACAAGCUUUAUUCUACGAUUCUUAAAUAAUUAGAAUAUUAAUAAAAGGUACAUCUUGUAAGAAAUACCUUUACCUGAUAUUUGAAUAUCAAGAUGACAGACUCGAAAUAUUUUACAACCACAAAAAAAGGUGAAAUAUUUGAACUUAAAUCAGAAUUGAACAAUGAUAAAAAAGAAAAGAAAAAGGAAGCUGUUAAAAAGGUGAUUGCAUCCAUGACAGUAGGAAAAGAUGUAUCUGCACUAUUUCCUGAUGUAGUUAACUGUAUGCAGACGGAUAAUUUGGAACUGAAGAAAUUGGUUUAUUUGUAUCUCAUGAAUUAUGCUAAGAGUCAACCAGAUAUGGCCAUCAUGGCUGUCAACACAUUUGUUAAGGAGCUAGCGACAUCUCCGAUGACAAAGGACUGUGAAGAUCCAAAUCCACUGAUUCGAGCAUUAGCGGUUCGUACAAUGGGGUGCAUACGUGUUGACAAGAUCACUGAAUACCUUUGCGAGCCGUUAAGAAAAUGUCUUAAGGACGAAGAUCCAUAUGUUCGUAAAACGGCCGCAGUAUGCGUUGCCAAGCUUUACGACAUUAAUGCUGCUUUAGUUGAGGAUCAAGGAUUUUUGGAUCAAUUAAAAGAUCUUUUAUCUGAUAGCAAUCCUAUGGUUGUUGCUAAUGCAGUGGCUGCAUUGUCAGAAAUUAAUGAAGCUAGUCCUAGCGGACAACCUUUAGUUGAAAUGAAUGCUCAAACUAUUAACAAACUUCUCACAGCUCUUAAUGAAUGCACAGAAUGGGGUCAAGUUUUUAUAUUAGAUUCACUCGCUAAUUAUUCACCAAAAGAUGAUCGUGAAGCUCAAAGCAUUUGUGAACGUAUUACUCCACGUUUGGCGCAUGCAAAUGCUGCAGUUGUUCUAUCUGCCGUCAAGGUACUUAUGAAACUAAUGGAAAUGCUCCAAUCAGAAUCCGAUUUUGUUGGUACUCUUACAAAAAAGUUGGCCCCGCCUCUUGUCACAUUGCUCAGUUCCGAACCUGAAGUUCAAUAUGUUGCACUGAGAAAUAUAAAUCUUAUUGUACAAAAAAGACCAGAUAUAUUGAAACACGAAAUGAAAGUUUUCUUUGUCAAAUAUAAUGAUCCAAUUUAUGUUAAACUUGAAAAAUUGGAUAUUAUGAUACGUUUAGCAUCGCAAGCCAAUAUUGCCCAGGUUUUAUCCGAACUAAAAGAAUAUGCUACAGAAGUUGAUGUAGAUUUUGUUAGGAAAGCUGUUAGAGCCAUUGGACGUUGCGCUAUAAAAGUUGAACCUUCUGCGGAGCGAUGCGUUUCUACGUUACUAGACUUAAUUCAAACAAAGGUUAAUUAUGUAGUUCAAGAAGCCAUUGUCGUUAUUAAAGAUAUCUUCCGUAAAUAUCCAAAUAAAUAUGAAAGCAUAAUUUCAACACUCUGCGAAAAUUUGGAUACUCUUGAUGAACCAGAAGCACGUGCUUCUAUGAUUUGGAUAAUUGGAGAAUAUGCGGAACGUAUUGAUAACGCAGACGAAUUGUUAGAAAGUUUUCUAGAAGGUUUUCACGAUGAAAAUACACAAGUGCAAUUACAACUGUUAACAGCCAUUGUCAAACUAUUUUUGAAAAGACCUACGGACACUCAAGAAUUAGUACAACAAGUACUAAGUUUAGCAACACAAGAUUCAGAUAAUCCAGAUUUGAGAGAUCGUGGAUUUAUAUAUUGGCGGUUGCUCAGCACUGAUCCAGCAGCAGCUAAAGAAGUUGUACUAGCUGAGAAACCUCUUAUUUCAGAAGAAACAGAUUUAUUGGAACCGACAUUGUUAGAUGAAUUGAUCUGUCACAUUUCUAGUUUAGCAUCAGUAUAUCACAAACCACCAACCGCAUUUGUAGAAGGUAGAGCAGCUGGAGCUAGGAAAUCCUUACCUGCUAGAAGUAAUUCGAAUGAGGAUUCAAGUCAACGUACUGCUACUACUUCUCAACCUCAUGCUCAAGUUAUACUUGCGCAAGACUCAUUAAUAGGCGAUCUUCUCAGUAUGGACAUUGGUGGACCAACUAUAGUACCCCCAGCACCACCUGCGCAAUCAGGAUUAGGUUUAGAUCUUUUAGGAGGUGGUUUAGAUGGAAUUUUAGGUAGUAAUGAUGGAGCGGCAAAUACUGCAGCACCGGUCGUUUCUCAGAGUACAACAGGAUUAUUGGGUGAUAUUUUCGGUUUCAAUCAAGGACCUACAUCUUAUAUACCAACUAAAGUUAAUUGGUUGCCCGCAGAAAAGGGUAAAGGUUUUGAUAUCUGGGGUACAUUUUCAAGAAAAAAUAGUCAGAUCAGCAUGGAUAUGACAUUUACAAAUAAAGCAAUGCAACCUAUGGGAGGAUUUGCCAUUCAACUUAAUAAGAAUAGUUUUGGUUUGACACCAGCAGCACCGUUGCAAGUACCAAGUCCUUUAGGUCCAGGAGCUAGCAUUGAAACCAAUGUAAUUUUAUCCACGGCAGGAGCAGUGCAACGCAUGGAACCUUUAAAUAAUUUACAAGUCGCUAUAAAGAAUAAUAUUGAUGUAUUUUACUUUGCUUGCUUAGUCCCUAUGAACGUAUAUUUUACUGAAGACGGACAACUAGACAAAAGAGUAUUUCUUUCAACUUGGAAAGAUAUUCCUGCCCAAAAUGAGGUUCAGUAUACAUUAAGUGGAAUAAUGUUGACUGCUGAUCAAGUGGUACAAAAGAUGCAACAAAACAAUGUCUUCACUAUUGCCAAGAGAAACGUUGAAGGACAGGAUAUGCUUUAUCAAUCAUUAAAAUUAACUAAUAAUGUGUGGGUAUUAAAUGAAUUAAAAAUUCAGCCCGGCAAUCCUGAUGUUACGUUAUCGCUCAAGUCUCGGUCCGUCGAAGUCGCGUCUGGAGUAUUUCAAGCAUAUAAUGCAAUACUACAUUCUUAAAGAUUUAAGUAUAAUCGCGUUAAGAUUAAAAUUGCAAGAAAUUAUAGUUAAAAUGUUACCGAAUAUUUGUUAAGCAAUUUAUGAAAAUGACAUGGNACAUGUAAUGCAUAUAUAAUAUUCGAUUAUGAUGUAAAUUAACGUUUAAUUGUUAAAUAAGCUACAACAAUUAUUAUUAAGAUUAUCUUGACAUAAA